AAAAGCUGAAGCCAGAUCUUAAUUUGAGAGCAGAAUAGCUGAGGCUUUGAAAAAAAGGGAAAGAAUAGGAAGGCAGUCACUGUGCACCCAAAAAUCUCCUUAGCAGCCUUCAUAAUACAGAGCUCUGUAAGGCACUUUUCACUCUUAGAUUCUGUCACCUGUGUGUCCCUGCCUCUGCCCUUUUGCUCUUGUGCCAGUGCUUGCUCAGGCAGGUUCUGUACCAGAAUUGAAGGGAUGUGUUUCUGAAAGCUGGACUUCAGAAGGAGUCUCCUUUCUGACUCUUCUUUGCUCUGCUCCUUUUUGGAAAGGUCAGAAUCCCUGUGGGAAGGACCUCUGUGUCACUGAGGGCCAGUUCACGGUGUCAUCUUUGAGAGUGACAGAAGUCCCAGGACCUCUCAGUGCCGUUCAAACCUAGCAAUGAGAGGAUGUUGAUUCUAUAACCCUGGCAGAGAAAGGAGAAACACCUGAGACUAAUGAGCACUGGAUGAAAGCUCCUGUGCACUUCAGCUGUGGCUUCCACCAAGUUGCACCUCAUCAUUGUGGAUUUCUCUACACCUCCAGCUUCUCUACCCCAAAGUCUCUAUCAGACAAUGAAAGCAAAGGAAAUGUAUUGGAACUGAAGACAAAAUACUAAUGAAGAAAAUGGAUGUUACCUCUAAAAUGUAGUAAAAUUCAACCAUUGGAAUACUAUGGACAGAGCAAUGCAGAGUCUGCUGAGCACAGCUGAGAAGACACAUUCUGAGAUGAUUCCCAGCAGAAAAGGUUUCCCUGUGUGCACCACAGCCAUGCUGGGCUCUGUCUGUCACUGCUGGGGUGGUUGAACAUUGUGAAGAGAAAAACAGAAAGGAAGAUUGUCAUGAUUGACAAGAGAUUAAAGGAUUAAACAAUAAUAACUUGGAUAAAUGACAAUUAAGGAUGAGAAAACUUUAGGAAAGUAAUUGAAGUUGAGCUCUGCAGAGCAAGUAGAAUUGCUGAGGGUUUGUCAUGGGGCCAUAGAUGGAAACUGAG
This 1008-nucleotide long non-coding RNA is filed under the name Zonotrichia albicollis (white-throated sparrow). RNAcentral describes it as "lncRNA (ENSZALG00000007114.1)". Lineage: Eukaryota; Metazoa; Chordata; Aves; Passeriformes; Passerellidae. The record is from RNAcentral.